RNAcentral lists this small nuclear RNA (106 nucleotides) under Echinops telfairi (small Madagascar hedgehog). Lineage: Eukaryota; Metazoa; Chordata; Mammalia; Afrosoricida; Tenrecidae. The record is from RNAcentral.
UUAAUCUGCCUGUAUUUCCUCUUCACUUCAGGGAACGAUACAGAGAAGAUUAGCAUGGCCCCUGCGCAAGGAUGACACACAGACUCGUGAAGCGUUCCAUAUUUAA